GGGGAUUUAGCUCAGUGAUAGAGCACUUGCCUAGCAAGCGCAAGGCCCUGGGUUCGAUCCCCAGCUCCG
Rattus norvegicus (Norway rat) is the source of this 69-nucleotide non-coding RNA. The record is from Rfam. Lineage: Eukaryota; Metazoa; Chordata; Mammalia; Rodentia; Muridae.